This 815-nucleotide long non-coding RNA is filed under the name Phasianus colchicus (ring-necked pheasant). RNAcentral describes it as "lncRNA (ENSPCLG00000022274.1)". Lineage: Eukaryota; Metazoa; Chordata; Aves; Galliformes; Phasianidae. The record is from RNAcentral.
UGUUUAAAAGAGACACUUUGAAUCAGCUGGCAACGUGAUCUUUCUAUCUGAUCUUUAAAACAUAUAUUAUGCAAGAACUGUCAAAAUUAGCUGUGAGAAUUUCUGGUUUCCAGAUGUGUGGGACCAAUAAAAGUAUCACUGACCUAAAAAAACUAUGUGCAGAGAUAAUACAGUGAACAUACAAACUAUGUCAGUACAGUUACUGGAGUUGAAGUGAGAUAUUCAGUUCAAACUUGUAAGCACCACUUCAGAGUGUCCUUAGGAUCAACCAGGAUAUUACAGGUAUAGUAAAAUAAUUUUUAGAUCUGUAUGUGACAUAAUUAAGACACUUGAAUGUGCAGUCUUGUUUAGACUGAAAUUUACAGACAGUAGCAAAUACGUGUUUUUCCCUUUUCACAAGUUUUUGCCCAACUGCAUUUGCCAAGGAAAACCCAUUUAUUACAGAAUGGAAUACACGGGUUUUUUCUUCCUCUAGAAGAUGAUUAUCAGUAUGGCUUUACCAACAGUCAUCUGAGGACCUUUGUUUUUGUAUGGAGUCCUCCUGAACUCGGCGAUGAACGAUGGAGAAUGUCCAUCAGACACCAACCACAGAACUAUAUAAGUGCCAAGUAGUCUCUCCAGGAGCUGGGACCACCUUCUGCUGUAACUAGGAGAUCUGCUAAACACGGCUUCAUUCCAAAAGUUUUGCAACGCUGAAAAUUAUGGCUCUGAGGCGCUGCUAUUGUGACCAGUGCUUGCACAGACGGUAAGAAGAGGCUUCUUGUUUAAUCUGCACACAUUCAUUACGAAUAGUCUGAACAGAUGAUGAAGGUAAG